This 28-nucleotide non-coding RNA is filed under the name Bombyx mori (domestic silkworm). The record is from RNAcentral. Lineage: Eukaryota; Metazoa; Arthropoda; Insecta; Lepidoptera; Bombycidae.
UUCCAGUUACGAUGCACUAACUUAUGGU